Molecule: ribosomal RNA, 301 nt
Filed under: uncultured bacterium
Lineage: Bacteria
Description: partial 16S ribosomal RNA
Rfam family: Bacterial small subunit ribosomal RNA
Source: RNAcentral
CGUAGCCACGGGAAUACAGAGGGUGCGAGCGUUAAUCGGAUUUACUGGGCGUAAAGCGUGCGUAGGCGGCUUUUUAAGUCGGAUGUGAAAUCCCUGAGCUUAACUUAGGAAUUGCAUUCGAUACUGGGAAGCUAGAGUAUGGGAGAGGAUGGUAGAAUUCCAGGUGUAGCGGUGAAAUGCGUAGAGAUCUGGAGGAAUACCGAUGGCGAAGGCAGCCAUCUGGCCUAAUACUGACGCUGAGGUACGAAAGCAUGGGGAGCAAACAGGAUUAGAUACCCCGGUAGUCCCUGUCUCUUAUACA